RNAcentral lists this unclassified non-coding RNA (281 nucleotides) under uncultured fungus. RNAcentral's name for it is "partial contains 5.8S ribosomal RNA, internal transcribed spacer 2, and large subunit ribosomal RNA". Lineage: Eukaryota; Fungi. The record is from RNAcentral.
AACGCAUAUUGCACUCCUUUGGGAGUAUGCCUGUUUGAGAAUCUAUAGUAUUUCUUUAUCUAGUUUACUAGAUUAGAUUUGGCGUGUCUCUUUUUAAGAGUGCGCUUAAAACUAUAGCUAGUCGCCGAAAGAGCGCCAAAGCAAAACUGUUUGAAGCUCAUUAGAGUAACCUACAUUAUUGAUUUGGGAAACGUUCUCAAGCAUCUAGCUCUUACCCAUCAAGGUUAUAACAUAACCUGAACCUUGGUCUCAAAUCAGGUAGGAGGACCCGCUGAACUUAA